RNAcentral lists this ribosomal RNA (42 nucleotides) under Medicago monantha. Its description in RNAcentral is "partial large subunit ribosomal RNA". Lineage: Eukaryota; Viridiplantae; Streptophyta; Magnoliopsida; Fabales; Fabaceae. The record is from RNAcentral.
GAGACCUCAGGUCAGGCGGGACUACCCGCUGAAUUUAAGCAU